GUGGGGAAUAUUGCACAAUGGGCGCAAGCCUGAUGCAGCGACGCCGCGUGGGGGAUGACGGCCUUCGGGUUGUAAACUCCUUUCGCUAGGGACGAAGCUUUUUGUGACGGUACCUAGAUAAGAAGCACCGGCUAACUACGUGCCAGCAGCCGCGGUAAUACGUAGGGUGCGAGCGUUGUCCGGAAUUACUGGGCGUAAAGGGCUCGUAGGUGGUUUGUCGCGUCGUCUGUGAAAUUCCGGGGCUUAACUCCGGGCGUGCAGGCGAUACGGGCAUAACUUGAGUACUGUAGGGGUAACUGGAAUUCCUGGUGUAGCGGUGAAAUGCGCAGAUAUCAGGAGGAACACCGAUGGCGAAGGCAGGUUACUGGGCAGUUACUGACGCUGAGGAGCGAAAGCAUGGGUAGCGAACAGGAUUAGAUACCCUUGUAGUCC
RNAcentral lists this ribosomal RNA (432 nucleotides) under uncultured bacterium. Its description in RNAcentral is "bacterial SSU rRNA". It matches the Rfam family "Bacterial small subunit ribosomal RNA", at positions 354 to 796 of the family's 1533-position model. The record is from RNAcentral. RNAcentral also lists the same sequence under 1 other name.